UAUACUCUUGAUACUGACUUGAACUAAAUAUUUAUUUGUUUCAUGUGUCUAAAAGCCAAACUAGUGGAAGGCUCUAUGAUGAAUGGAUUAAACAACAAAGUUUCUGCUCAAAUCAAAAAGGACCUUGUUAAUCACGGACCACCCAAGAAGCAAAAGAAUACUCUGAAGCGUAAAUGGUACAUCAAAUGCAAUUUAUAGGAACUGACAAUGUCAUGAUGUAGAUUUUUUUACCUGUCUUUUAUUUGGCUGAUGUGAGUACUUUAUUAACUAGUGGACGGCUCUAUGAUGAAUGGAUUAAGGAACAAAGUUUCUGCUGAACACAAAACGGACCUUGUUAAUCACAGACCAUCCAAGAAGCAAAAGAUUACUCCAAAGUGUAAGUACUACAUCAAAUGCACAUGAUAUGGAAACUAACAAAACAUGUGACCAUUGUUUUCCUUACUUUCUCACAUUUAGUUUUGUCGAAUUCUAUGUAAAGUGAAAAUGUCAUGAUGCAGUUUUUUGUUUUUACUUGUAUUGUGCUUUACUGAUGUGAGUAUUUUAUUAACUAGUGGACGACUCUAUGAUGAAUGGAUUAAGCAACAAAGUUUAUGCUCAAAUCAAAAAGGAACUUGUUGAUCACGGACCAUCCAAGAAGCAAAAGAAUACUUUGAAGCGUAAGUGCUACAUCAAAUGCAGUUUAUAGGAACUAACAAAACAUGUGACAAUUUUUUCCCAAUUUUCUCACAUUUAUUUUUGGCGAAUUCUAUGUUAACUGACAAUGUCAUGAUGUAGUUUUUUUUACCUGUCUUUUAUUUGGCUGAUGUGAGUACUUUAUUAACUAGUGGACGGCUCUAUGAUGAAUGGAUUAAGGAACAAAGUUUCUGCUGAACACAAAAUGGACCUUGUUAAUCACAGACCAUCCAAGAAGCAAAAGAUUACUCCAAAGUGUAAGUGCUACAUCAAAUGCACAUGCUAUGGAAACUAACAAAAC
RNAcentral lists this long non-coding RNA (973 nucleotides) under Medicago truncatula (barrel medic). RNAcentral's name for it is "long non-coding RNA (MTRU_LNC006198)". The record is from RNAcentral. Lineage: Eukaryota; Viridiplantae; Streptophyta; Magnoliopsida; Fabales; Fabaceae.